RNAcentral lists this transfer RNA (72 nucleotides) under Nanobdellota archaeon. RNAcentral describes it as "tRNA-Thr". It matches the Rfam family "tRNA". From Rfam's summary of the family: Transfer RNA (tRNA) molecules are approximately 80 nucleotides in length. Their secondary structure includes four short double-helical elements and three loops (D, anti-codon, and T loops). Further hydrogen bonds mediate the characteristic L-shaped molecular structure. tRNAs have two regions of fundamental functional importance: the anti-codon, which is responsible for specific mRNA codon recognition, and the 3' end, to which the tRNAs corresponding amino acid is attached (by aminoacyl-tRNA synthetases). tRNAs cope with the degeneracy of the genetic code in two manners: having more than one tRNA (with a specific anti-codon) for a particular amino acid; and 'wobble' base-pairing, i.e. permitting non-standard base-pairing at the 3rd anti-codon position. The record is from RNAcentral. Lineage: Archaea; Nanobdellati; Nanobdellota.
GCCUCUGUAGCUCAGCGGUAGAGCGCGUGCUUGGUAAGCACGAGGUCGCGAGUUCAAUUCUCGCCAGAGGCU